GCGCAAACUACUUAGACGGAGUUUAAACAUGUAGCAUGCACACACAUGCAAAAACAUACACGUAUACUUUUGUAUUAUUGUAAUAUAAUUAUAAAGUUUAGAGAGAGAGAGAAGCCAUGAGAAAGUAUUUAUAGAGACAAACUAUAUAGUAAUAAUAAUAGAUGGAUAGAUUAAUUAGUAUUAAUAGAAAGAAAUAGGGGGAGAUUGUAGAGAGAGAGGGAGAGCGAGUCAUAGUAAUGGUUAGAUAAUUAGUGUCAA
This 258-nucleotide unclassified non-coding RNA is filed under the name Hevea brasiliensis (rubber tree). Lineage: Eukaryota; Viridiplantae; Streptophyta; Magnoliopsida; Malpighiales; Euphorbiaceae. The record is from RNAcentral.